Pelmatolapia mariae (spotted tilapia) is the source of this 411-nucleotide non-coding RNA. Lineage: Eukaryota; Metazoa; Chordata; Actinopteri; Cichliformes; Cichlidae. The record is from the annotation of a RefSeq genome assembly.
AUGCUGCUGACAGUGAUAAACUCCUACAUCUUCAGCCUGAACUCCACUGAUGGUCAGAGUGAAGUCAGCUCCAGACUGACGGGAGGUGAUACUCACCCCACCCUGAAGGUUCUGGGUCCCUCCAGUGAGGAACUGAAACAGGGGAAGGCCACGCUCAUGUGUGUGGCCAACAAGGGCUUCCCCUCAGACUGGAGUCUGUCCUGGAAGGUGGAUGGCAGUGGCAGCAUCAGCUGGGAGGAGAGCAGGAGCCCCGUGGUGCUGCAGAAUGACGGCCUCUACAGCUGGAGCAGCACCCUGAGGCUCCCUGCAGACCACUGGAUGAAGGUGGGCUCUGUGACCUGUGAGGCCACCCAGGGCUCCCAGACUCUAGUCUCAGAGCCACUGAGGAGAGACCAGUGUCCACAGUCCUGA